CAGAUCGAUGCAAAUUAUUCUCGUGCGCCCGUCACAAGUAUUUAUUUCGAUGCGGAGCAAUACAGUGCUUUCAAUUUUUGGAGGUCCAGCUACAGUACUUACGUGGCUGAAUGUUGGUAAAGUUGAUCCUCACGUAGGUGUCACGAUGUGGACGCGUGUGUUCGUGGUAGAAUCAGCGGUGUGCAUUAGUUCGUGCAUGGCUACUCCUGGCCUAGAAGUGGUGAGACAUUGAUCAUCGAGACUUACUUGUUGUUCUGAAAUCCCUAGCAUGCCAACGUAACUCCAAUAACUUAGUAGUUUGAGAAAGGAUUAGUCCAGUUAUGAGAAUAACGAUUACAAAAAAACCC
Long non-coding RNA from Daphnia pulicaria, 347 nucleotides. RefSeq lists it as uncharacterized. The transcript has 2 exons. The record is from RefSeq and is a predicted model, not a curated record. Lineage: Eukaryota; Metazoa; Arthropoda; Branchiopoda; Diplostraca; Daphniidae.